AGUGAACGCUGGCGGUAGGCCUAACACAUGCAAGUCGAACGGCAGCACAGUAAGAGCUUGCUCUUACGGGUGGCGAGUGGCGGACGGGUGAGGAAUACAUCGGAAUCUACUUUUUCGUGGGGGGUAACGUAGGGAAACUUACGCUAAUACCGCAUACGACCUACGGGUGAAAGCAGGGGAUCUUCGGACCUUGCGCGAUUGAAUGAGCCGAUGUCGGAUUAGCUAGUUGGCGGGGUAAAGGCCCACCAAGGCGACGAUCCGUAGCUGGUCUGAGAGGAUGAGCAGCCACACUGGAACUGAGACACGGUCCAGACUCCUACGGGAGGCAGCAGUGGGGAAUAUUGGACAAUGGGCGCAAGCCUGAUCCAGCCAUACCGAGUGGGUGAAGAAGGCCUUCGGGUUGUAAAGCCCUUUUGUUGGGAAAGAAAAGCAGCAGGUUAAUACCCCGCUGUUCUGACGGUACCCAAAGAAUAAGCACCGGCUAACUUCGUG
RNAcentral lists this ribosomal RNA (492 nucleotides) under uncultured bacterium. Its description in RNAcentral is "partial 16S ribosomal RNA". It matches the Rfam family "Bacterial small subunit ribosomal RNA", at positions 29 to 507 of the family's 1533-position model. The record is from RNAcentral.